This 200-nucleotide ribosomal RNA is filed under the name uncultured bacterium. RNAcentral describes it as "partial 16S ribosomal RNA". It matches the Rfam family "Bacterial small subunit ribosomal RNA", at positions 130 to 334 of the family's 1533-position model. The record is from RNAcentral.
CCGAUGGAGGGGGAUAACUACUGGAAACGGUAGCUAAUACCGCAUAACGUCGCAAGACCAAGAGGGGGACCUUGGGCCUCUUGCCAUCGGAUGUGCCCAGAUGGGAUUAGCUAGUAGGUGGGGUAACGGCUCACCUAGGCGACGAUCCCUAGCUGGUCUGAGAGGAUGACCAGCCACACUGGAACUGAGACACGGUCCAG